GUCAGUUUGGCCGAGUGGUUAAGGCGAUAGACUUGAAUCUGUUAGGAUUAAAGAUAUCUAUUGGGCUCUGCCCGCGUCGGUUCAAAUCCGGCAGCUGACG
This 100-nucleotide transfer RNA is filed under the name Lachancea lanzarotensis. It matches the Rfam family "tRNA". From Rfam's summary of the family: Transfer RNA (tRNA) molecules are approximately 80 nucleotides in length. Their secondary structure includes four short double-helical elements and three loops (D, anti-codon, and T loops). The record is from Rfam by way of RNAcentral. Lineage: Eukaryota; Fungi; Ascomycota; Saccharomycetes; Saccharomycetales; Saccharomycetaceae.